This is a long non-coding RNA of Scylla paramamosain (green mud crab), 377 nucleotides long. RefSeq lists it as uncharacterized. Lineage: Eukaryota; Metazoa; Arthropoda; Malacostraca; Decapoda; Portunidae. The record is from RefSeq and is a predicted model, not a curated record. The transcript has 2 exons.
AUGGAGGCUGGACUGUAAACUGUUAACUAAUUCUGCAGAAUCGGCUCAUCAUCAUCAUGUCUGGUCUAGAAAAUUGUACAUUUCCAUGUGGUGUAUGUGCAUAUGUAUAAAGUCAUCAGUUAAGUUAAUAAAAUAUUUCAUAUAAACACCUAGUAACACUUCCAUCCUUCACAAUGUCGCUCUCUCAGCAGCAGCUUGUUGUACAUACUUGUUUGCUCCUCAGCAUUAGUACACACGGUUCUCCCAGCCAAGUGUUCACAAUGCCUUCAGAUGUUGCUGUACAGGAUUUCAGAAAUAUUUGCAUUAGGUUUGAAACAUUCUCUUUCUGUUCACAUUUAUUGUCUGUCACUGGAAGUAAAUACAGGAACUGAAGAUUU